GUGGGGAAUCUUGCGCAAUGGGCGAAAGCCUGACGCAGCAACGCCGCGUGCGGGAUGACGGCCUUCAAGGUUGUAAACCGCUUUCAGCAGGGACGAAAAUGACGGUACCUGCAGAAGAAGCCCCGGCUAACUACGUGCCAGCAGCCGCGGUAAUACGUAGGGGGCAAGCGUUGUCCGGAUUCAUUGGGCGUAAAGAGCUCGUAGGCGGUUCAGUAAGUCGGGUGUGAAAGCUCCGAGCUCAACUCGGAGAGGCCACCCGAUACUGCUGUGACUUGAGUACAGUAGGGGAGCGUGGAAUUCCUGGUGUAGCGGUGAAAUGCGCAGAUAUCAGGAGGAACACCAGCGGCGAAGGCGGCGCUCUGGGCUGUAACUGACGCUCAGGCACGAAAGCGUGGGGAGCAAACAGGAUUAGAAACCCCAGUAGUCC
RNAcentral lists this ribosomal RNA (427 nucleotides) under uncultured bacterium. RNAcentral's name for it is "partial 16S ribosomal RNA". It matches the Rfam family "Bacterial small subunit ribosomal RNA", at positions 354 to 796 of the family's 1533-position model. The record is from RNAcentral.